UUAGCGUAAAAACUGCGCAAUUAUGGAAGAGAUAUGCGCACAUAUUAAGUAUUAUUUAAACCGAAAUUGUUCAACGUCAGAUUAUGUGACUAGGACUUCUGAUAUAUCACGCAUCUGUUGUUUUAAAGUACAGAGCAAAAACAUCAUCAUCGUAUAAACCAUCACCACAGUAUUCUAGCGGCGGUGGCGUCGAUUGCCUGGAUGGUACCGCUCCCGACUGUGCUCAACACGAACGCGGCCUCCAGCUGUCCCGGGUAUGCCGGGAGGUCGUCUGUGUACAGGGCUUCACCCGUCGCCUGGGGAGAAAGAAGCGAUUACACGCGAACUGCAGACCUGGGCGUCUGCUUCCAGUUUUUUCAUGGGCUCCGUGACCGGAUACUCCAUCGUGUUUGUAUCGUACGUCUGUUGACCGGACGAGAUGGGGCGCAGGAAGUACAGCUGACUGGCCCCCGACCUGUAUUGCUGCCCGGCCCGGUCACCAACCAUGUACAACACGAACUUGGCACCAUGAAAUGUUCGAAUAUGACAAAUGUUACGAAAUGUGUUGUUACUUCAUUGUGUAUUUGUAUAAUAUUAAGUAAGUAUAAUUAUAAGUCGCACGAGGCUUCAAAAAAUGUUAUGACGACGAAGAUGUAUAGUUUAGACGCUUUAAACUAAAUACCCGGUAAGCACGUGCUAUCUAACUUAACAUUCCGUAACUGUAUUCUAAUGAGCAUACAAUAAACCAGAUCAGUACUUGUUUUCAUAUAAAACGAUAUAAAUAAGAUACACUUGUGUUAAGAAGUUUCAUGGAAGGGGUAUAAUUUUAUUCUGGGGAAGACCUUUUUUCAAAAUUUAAAGAAAUAUCACAAAAAAACUGUGUAUUUAAUGUGUUGUUGUUUUAUAUUGAAAAAUGCUAACCCGAAAAAAAAAUAACUUUGCACAUGGUUACCUUGUAGAAAAGAGACACCGCCAAUUUCGUCCUGUAUGCUGCACUCGACAGUGCGGGGGAGGAAUCCGCGAUGAUCUCCCCUUGAAGAGUGGCCAAAGCCGCUGAAAUGGACAAUUGGACAUGCCCUAAUUGUGAAUCAUUGAUCAAGGGUUGUUGAUCACACUAUGCAUGCUGAUAAAGAUCACAUAAAACAAUUUAAAGCCCGCUCCUUAACCUUCCAUUCUGAAGAUGGUGAAGGGACAUACAAAGUAUCGAGAAAACAAUACUACCACUUUCUGUGUGUUCGUGCACGUGUGCGUGCGUCAGUCCGCCGUAAAUCCACGCAUACACUAUCGAUAUUAUGCACAAUAUAAAUGUUAAAAUUAUUUAAUUAUGCUUUUUAUCCUCUUUUUAUUUUGGCAUUUUUGUUUGUGGAUGUACGUUGAUUUUAUAAAUUCUAAUGGAACGAG
Dreissena polymorpha is the source of this 1380-nucleotide long non-coding RNA. RefSeq lists it as uncharacterized. Lineage: Eukaryota; Metazoa; Mollusca; Bivalvia; Myida; Dreissenidae. The record is from RefSeq and is a predicted model, not a curated record. The transcript is spliced from 3 exons.